GACACAGCACCUCAUUUUUCUCUUGGGCAGCGGUAUGAACCUUGAUUUCUCCAACUUCAAAUAACCCUUGCUUUUCCCCUCUCUCUCCAUCCCUCCCCCAUCCUAGUUCUCCCACUAGUUUCACUGUC
This is a long non-coding RNA of Amblyraja radiata (thorny skate), 128 nucleotides long. RefSeq lists it as uncharacterized. The transcript is spliced from 3 exons. The record is from RefSeq and is a predicted model, not a curated record. NCBI's taxonomy places the organism in Eukaryota, Metazoa, Chordata, Chondrichthyes, Rajiformes, Rajidae.